GGGUGAUCUGGCUGCAAUAUCUAAUAUUUUAUGUUAAUGACUGAUUUCAGUGACCUUUGGUCUGAAUAGACACCACUUGCCUUCUUCAAAAUCCCAUAUACAUCCUUUCUGGAGCUGUGCACUAGUGGAAGGGAAUAAGUCCCUCAUAUGGUUGGACCCUUUCAAAGUCAUGGAAACAUGGAGUAGCUGCCUUCUCCUACUAGAGCCUCCACAAGCUCUUGAGAAGACAGUAAGGGCCAGGGAGAUGGUUCAGGAGUGAGAAUACUUUCUGAGUUCAUCUGAAGAUAUGAGAUUGGAUCUCU
RNAcentral lists this small nuclear RNA (302 nucleotides) under Microtus ochrogaster (prairie vole). RNAcentral describes it as "7SK RNA (ENSMOCG00000007900.1)". It matches the Rfam family "7SK RNA". From Rfam's summary of the family: 7SK was discovered as an abundant small nuclear RNA in the mid-70s but a possible function has only recently been suggested. Two independent studies have found that 7SK RNA binds the CDK9/cyclin T complex (known as elongation factor P-TEFb). Lineage: Eukaryota; Metazoa; Chordata; Mammalia; Rodentia; Cricetidae. The record is from RNAcentral.